CUGGACUCUCGGGAUCAGGAUGAGGAGGAAGAGAAGAGGAACGCGGCCAAUGGCAAGAAGAAGCGCAGCUUUGUGGAUGCGUUUAUCGUCAUAUCUGACAGCGAUGGAGAGGUCAGAUGCUGGUUUUGGUAGAAGGAGGGAGGCGUGUUCGGGCCUCGGCUGGAAUACCCGCCCACUACCCUUUCCUGUUCUCCAUCAACCAUGGCAGCGGGCGCUUUGUUUUGGGACCAGGCGUGGCCUGAGCGACAUCUUACCGUGGAGAUGGUGGCACUGGAAGCGUCACAGCCAGGGUGGCAGCGCCCACCCCGCACCGCUGACCGUCCAAGCAAAGCAGAGCCGCCCGGGAGCGUUCCUGCGGCACCCGCUGUCCCCACGGGCUCUGCUGCGGUGCCGAGGGACCCGGUGCCUCCAGUCCCCGAGGAGAACGCGUGUGAGGCUGCUCCCCAGGCGGCUCUGCUGCCUUCGCUCCUCGGAAAUCAGCAGGAGUCAAAGGAAGAGAGUGGAUUGCAAAAGAAGAGAACAAAACAGCAGCUGGAUAGAACCAAGUUCACUGCUAAAAGGAAAAUUGCACACAUGACUGAAGAGGAACAGUUUGCACUGGCCCUGAAAAUGAGUGAGCAAGAAGCCAGACAAGUGAACUGUCAGGAAGAAGAGGAGGAGGAGCUCUUGAGGAAGGCCAUUGCUGAGAGCCUUAGUAGCUGUCAACCCUCGGAGUCCUCUGAUGCAACCCCUCAGUUGUCUGCAGAAGUGCUGGGCGUGCGAGGCCGAAGCCAGCCCACCGAGAAAGAAGGCUCUGACAUCCUGGGGAGUCUGGCGGUUUGCCCUGACACCCCUCCCUCCCAGUGCAGCUCCCACUCAGAGAGUGCCAGAGCUGAUGGGAACGGACAGACGGAUGUCGCCCGGAGCCCUCUGGUAGUGUUGAAGAGGUUGAGCCAGGAAAUCGUUGAAAGCUCACUAGUAUCCAGCAUAAUCGUGUCUCCGGGGAAGGGCCAGCCUCUGACAAGGUCAAGUGAAAAGCCUUCCUCACCAGCAAAAAGUGAUUCUAGUAACAUGUUACCCAGCACCCUGGGAGAGGACCUGAUCUCUUUGAGUCCCACCUUUGGCAGGGCGACUUCAGGCUCCUGGCGACUGACACCUCGGAGACUGUUCACAAGCCCCUCCAGCUCUUCCGAAGCAACCGGCCAGGAACCAAAAGAGCAGCCCCUGCCCUGCACCGGCCGUUCUGCGAGAGAAUCCAGUGCCGGGAGCUCAGCCGCGCUCUGGAAGAGCUGGACCACGGAAUGGUGUGGCAGCCCCAGGAGGAGCGGUGGAGGAGCAGGUACUGAACACCCCUCGCAGCCUGGGCACAAAGCCUGUGUUUCCACAAAGCAAGCAGAGCAGAACCAGGUGCCCAAAAGCACCCCUGAGCUUUGCGUGCUGAAUGCGACAGAGGACAAGCACAAGCCAGAGGAGGUGAGGGACACAGUGCACUAUUAUUGGGGCAUCCCCUUCUGCCCCAAAGGGGUGGACCCCAACCAGUACACCAAAGUCAUCUUGUGUCAGCUGGAGGUUUACCAGAAGAGCCUGAAGCAGGCUCAGAGGCAGCUGUUGCAUAAGAAGGAGUUUGGUAACCCGGUUGUGCCCAGUUCUUCCUUGAGCACAAACGAGCUUGUGAAAGGAGAGCAGAUAAGCAGGGAGAACGGGGUUGCUGAUGAUACAGAAGAUGGAGACCCAGAUGGGCAGAAGGAGUCUGAGAGCGUCGCCUGGCUCCUCCCUUUAAAGAGGAGGGAGGCAGAGAGUCCAGGGCACAGCAUGGACGAAGAGAAGAACUCCACUUCUGACGAUGAACCGACCACCAGCUACUGCCAGGCCUCCCAGGUGCUGCCUGCCGAGGAUGCGCCUGAAGACGAGGAGCCCAUGCAAAUUGCCCAGAGCCUCUCCGUGUUGACCCCACUUGGCAAUAAAAGGAGCCCAGAUAUUGCCACAGAAACCUCUGCUGAAGAAGAGAUCUCUGUUUGCCCAGAGACCCAGCCGAGCCCGCUGGAAGCUGUCGAGGUGGAGAGUGAAGAACUUUGCAGAGAGGCGCCUGUGCAGGCCGAUGGAGAUGAAGAUACCGGCAGGACCGUGUCUGAGAGCAGUCCUACAGCUACUGAUCACGUAUCGUGCCCUCUGUGUGCCCAAGGCUUUCCAGCUACGGAGAUCGAGCUGCACGCCAUGUACUGCAACGGCAGUGCGGGAGAGGAGGCUGGCAGGGACACUCCAGGAAUAUGCUGAGAGGAGUUCGACUGAAAGAGACAACACUCUGACGUGCUCCCUGAAGAUGCCUGGAGAGCAUGUUUGGAAAGGCUGCCGGCGAUCGUUGAAGGAGCAGAACUUGCUGGACCCGUGGUCAGCGUGUCAUUCAGCCGGGGUCUCACCAGCUGCCCGCGAGCGUCGGAGCCGGCGCCAGCUGGAGAACCGCGCCACUGAUGCUCAGCCCUGCCACAGAGCUUCACCCAAAUGCCCCACAGAGCUGUGUGCAGACCAUAGUUCACAUCACCCCCCGUUUCACGUGGGAAAAGCAGUGAGUGUAGGCUAAUUGUUGUAACCUUCCCGUUCCAACGUGAGCUCUGUCGUUCCCCAGCACGAGUCGCUCUUCUGCAGCAAGGCUGGUGCCCCUGCGCAGCCCCCUGGGCUCCCCUGGCCCCCGAGCUCACAGUCACCACGUUCCCUCCCGCAGCAGGCGCCGGCGCUGGGUUUGGCAGGGAGUGGUGCUGAGCUGCCGGAGCGGCUGCGUAACUCCGUGUAACUCUGCUCCCAGGCUGCUGCACAUCAGCUGUAAAAUGACUGUAAACUGCAUGCUGUCCAUCCAGCUGUUUCUGGCAGAAGAUGAGUUAUGGUGUGAAAUGGUCAGUUGGCUGCUCGGUCCGGGGAAGGUAACUUCUUCAGUAUCCCCCCAGAAGAAGGAAUUGGCCAGCAGGCUCUUCUGCAGGAAAGAAGACUCUGCCCGUCCCACUCCAGUGCUUCUACCAUCGCUUCUGCUGCAGCCUUGAACGGAAGAGAUUAAAACAUGUUGCGUUUGAAUGUGGUGUAGGGAUGAUUUGGGGUGGAUGGUCGGUAACCCUUUCUGUUUUUCCUCCAGUGCUCACCCGGCGUCAGAGAGAAGCAAGAAGUAAAGCUGCCAACAGAGACAGCGGCCCAGCAUCCUUGGACAUUGACAAGACGCUGGACAGCAGGGGAAGGGACUCCUCAAGAUGCUGGAGCUCUCGGAGAGCAAGUCUGCAG
Molecule: RNA transcript, 3243 nt
Organism: Columba livia (rock pigeon)
Lineage: Eukaryota; Metazoa; Chordata; Aves; Columbiformes; Columbidae
Gene: UIMC1
Gene name: ubiquitin interaction motif containing 1
Exons: 11
Source: RefSeq, a predicted model, not a curated record